This 453-nucleotide ribosomal RNA is filed under the name uncultured bacterium. Its description in RNAcentral is "partial 16S ribosomal RNA". It matches the Rfam family "Bacterial small subunit ribosomal RNA", at positions 28 to 523 of the family's 1533-position model. The record is from RNAcentral.
GAUGAACGCUGGCGGUCUGCUUAACACAUGCAAGUCGAACGGAAUCCUUCGGGAUUUAGUGGCGGACGGGUGAGUAACGCGUGAGAAUCUGCCUUCAGGUUAGGGACAACAGCUGGAAACGGCUGCUAAUACCGGAUGUGCCGAGAGGUGAAAGCUUUAGUGCCUGAAGAUGAGCUCGCGUCUGAUUAGCUAGUAGGAGUGGUAAUGGCACCCCUAGGCGACGAUCAGUAGCUGGUCUGAGAGGAUGAUCAGCCACACUGGGACUGAGACACGGCCCAGACUCCUACGGGAGGCAGCAGUGGGGAAUUUUCCGCACUGGGCGCAAGCCUGACGGAGCAAGACCGCGUGAGGGAAGAAGGUCUGUGGAUUGUAAACCUCUUUUGAUGGGGAAGAAGACAGUGACGGUACCCAUCGAAUCAGCCUCGGCUAACUCCGUGCCAGCAGCCGCGGUAA